CUCGCCAUCCCGUAUGGUAAGGAGACUCACCUCGCUCUCAAACCCGGGACCGUCUGCGGGACAUCAACUCUGCCCCUCUCGUACCAAACUCCGGAGUGCACGACAAAACCUGUGUGGAGCGACCACCACAAGCGGCUCGUGUGGAGUGAUCACCACAAGUACAAAACAGAUUGUGAGUAUGAUCCAAUCCUCUCAACUCGAGGAUACCCUACCAACUAGGGCUAACAAUGACACG
This 235-nucleotide long non-coding RNA is filed under the name Ananas comosus (pineapple). RNAcentral's name for it is "long non-coding RNA (ACOM_LNC037188)". The record is from RNAcentral. Lineage: Eukaryota; Viridiplantae; Streptophyta; Magnoliopsida; Poales; Bromeliaceae.